UACAGAGGGUGCAAGCGUUAAUCGGAAUUACUGGGCGUAAAGCGCAUGUAGGUGGGAGCAUAAGUUUGAUGUGAAAGCCCCAGGCUUAACCUGGGAAUGGCGUUGAAGACUGUGUUUCUAGAGUUUGACAGAGGGCUGUGGAAUUUCCGGUGUAGCGGUGAAAUGCGUAGAGAUCGGAAAGAACACCAGUGGCGAAGGCGGCAGCCUGGAUCUAAACUGACACUGAGGUGCGAAAGCGUGGGGAGCAAACAGG
Molecule: ribosomal RNA, 253 nt
Filed under: uncultured bacterium
Lineage: Bacteria
Description: partial 16S ribosomal RNA
Rfam family: Bacterial small subunit ribosomal RNA
Source: RNAcentral